AUUGAACGCUGGCGGCAGGCCUAACACAUGCAAGUCGAGCGAGCGGCGGACGGGUGAGUAAUGUAUGGGGACUGCCCGAUAGAGGGGGAUAACUACUGGAAACGGUGGCUAAUACCGCAUACUAUCGGAUAACCCAUAUGGGAUUAGCUAGUAGGUGGGGUAAAGGCUCACCUAGGCGACGAUCUCUAGCUGGUCUGAGAGGAUGAUGAGCCGGAUGGGGUAUGAGGCACGGUCGGGACGCGUACGGAGGCACCAGUGGGGAAUAUGUGACAAGGGGGGUAAGACUGAUGCAGCCAUGCCGCGUGUAUGAAGAAGGCCUUAGGAUUGUAAAGUACUGUCAGCGGGGAGGCGUUACCUGCAGAAUAAGCCCCUGCUAACUCCGUGCCAGCAGCCGCGGUAAUUC
Molecule: ribosomal RNA, 403 nt
Filed under: uncultured bacterium
Lineage: Bacteria
Description: partial 16S ribosomal RNA
Rfam family: Bacterial small subunit ribosomal RNA
Source: RNAcentral